AGAUGUUCCAGUAUCAAAGGCAUGUGCUGAGGCUUGCACACCAUCCGCUACUGUGAAGUGCUGCGGUACAUCUCAGUGUAACGUGGACUUCUUGAAAUGCUACACCUGCACUGACUUGACAGAUGAAUCUAAUUGUAAAGAUAUAACAGUCUGUGGGUAUGGUGACAAGUUCUGUAAAACCACUUACAAACUAACUGGAACUGGUAAGUAAUGAUCCCGAAGGGCCGGGUUUCUCUGACUAUAACAAGUUUAACUGGCUUCUCUUUCUCUCGUACAUUCCUACUUAGUGUUGGGAUUAACAUAGAUUUUUCCAGCAGCUUCUUUCUAAAUAAGGACAAGAACAUAUUUGCAGUCAUCACAAGAGACAAGUUUACAUUGCACUAAUGUUUCCCACAUUUAAGUCACCAUUCAAUCAGCUAACAAUAGUAUUCAAGCCAGAUAAAUGUAUCUCUACAAUCAGGGCUGUUUUGAAAAUGUACCUCCACCUACAAAUCCAAGCUAAAAUACUUUUUAUUACAGGCUUCACAUUGUUUUUAUUCUCUAAUACAAUGUUUGAAAUGGCAAGAGUAACAAAGGCCUGUGUCAAUUGAUGAGAUAAUAGUUAUAGAAUUAUGACUAACUUUCUUUUUGCAUUCAUUGAUAGGUGUCACCGUCAGCAAGGGAUGUGCAUCAACUUGUACUGUAACAACAGCUUUCCCGCGAGAUGAGUGCUGUCAGGGAGAACUGUGUAAUGAUAAAUUGAUUUGCUUCAAAUGUGCUGAAACAACCGAUGAAAGUUCCUGUACUUCGAGUCCAUGUGCAGCUGAAGCAUUCUGCAAGAGUGACUACAAACUGAACGGGGCAGGUAAGAGCUUCUCCUUCAUUUGGGGUUUCUAUUCUUUGUGUUUCCAGUUUGGUGCUUGUGAAUUCCAGCUGGUGAACGGAGGCCGUUGAGAGCAGUUGUGUUCAUGUCUAAGGAGUCCAUUCCUAGCAAUCCUUUUCGUAAUCCUCAAAUCUAACAUCACAUACACCUCACUGCUUCAUUGCUACUUUGCAGCCACAUUUCCCAUGUUUAGAGAUUUAAAAUACAUAACUUUAUUAUCAUCAACUGACUAUUAUUAAGCAUGGUAGAGCCCUGUUUUAGAAUAACGGAACACAUAACUUUGUACAGUAACUUAUGCCUCACAUAUUAACCUUCAGUGGACACUUUCUUUUUUCAAGAGCAUGCAAUAUUGUCCCACAUGGAAAAAUAAAAGCAGUAUGCUGGUACCGUAAUAUGUACAUGUUAGUGUAGAGUCACCGAGGAUUUGAUUCUGUAUAAAUGCCCUGCUUAUUGAUUUGUCAGAAUCACUGAUUUGGCACUAGCUGGUUCUGUCACCACUAACCUUGCUUUUCUCCACCUUACAGGAGUGCCUGUUGUCACUAAGUCCUGUGCAGAUUGCAAAGCUGUUGACAAUACAGCAGACAAAAACGUGAGGACAACUUGCUGCAAAACAGGCUAUUGUAAUGGAAAUGCCUUGAGUUGCAACACUUGUACUAAUGAAGCUGACGAACCAAAAUGUGCAGCAACAGCCUGCGCUGCAACUGACAAACUAUGUCAGAGCACUUAUACCCUCACUGCACCAGGUAAGCUGGAUCACAAGGGGAAAGGUGACUG
Acipenser ruthenus (sterlet) is the source of this 1636-nucleotide long non-coding RNA. RefSeq lists it as uncharacterized. The record is from RefSeq and is a predicted model, not a curated record. NCBI's taxonomy places the organism in Eukaryota, Metazoa, Chordata, Actinopteri, Acipenseriformes, Acipenseridae. The transcript is spliced from 4 exons.